UUCACUCAGCAAACUGGGACUGUUGGUCACCCUACCUGGCAGCCAGUGAUAAGGGCUGGUGUCAUUGGCAUGACAGACCUGCCUUGGCUGAGCGUUCACCUGUCUUUGGAGUUCAGCCACCUUAGCAAGUCCUGGGUUUGUUCUUCAGACUUUGCUGCUCGCCCAUUGCCUGGAUCGGGGGCUACUUUGUAAACCACCAGGAAGACUCCAGUGUUUCUGGUUAAUUUUUAGAUGUUUGUUAAUUGCUCUUGGUCUCUCAUUAAUCCCCUGUGGGUCAUCCAGGAAACAUACUCACCACUGUCUGUUCUCUGAGUUUUCAUUUCCAGGCAUCCGCCCUGCCUGGAUCUCCUCACCUGCCAGGAACUUCCUCUCCACAAGCCGGCCAUCCCAGCAAAAGUUCUAACACCAAAGGUCUGGCAACUAGCCUGCCAUCUUGUGCCUGGAGCCGCCUGCGUGCCACCUACUCCCGAAGAUGGGAACCUUGUUGCCAGUUGGGCAGAUGCGGGGCAAUCCUGUACCAAGACCCCAUUUUACCACCUGCUUUCUCAGACCACUCUGGAACCCACUGUCUCAGAUUGUGUCCUCCAGGAAGCAGACCAUGAGAGGGAGUUGGCAGGGCCAAAGAUUUACUGGGGCUAACUAACACUCAGGAAAGGGAUAGGAAGGAAACAGGGCUGGAGAGCAGGUUGAGCCCGACCUGACAGUCUCGAGCAGCCCAACAGGGAGGUGUGGAGCAAGGGUUGCCCACUAGAGGGGCCUGCAUUGGGUACGGGUGAUGGGGUCCACAUGGUACCUGGCAUAUAGCAGGCUGUGCAAUCCAUAUUAACUGACUGGAUAAAUUAAUGCCCAGAAAAGGUGCCCUGGAGAAUGGGUGUGUGCUGAACACAAUAGGGAAGGGCCCAGCAUCUGCCUUGGCAUAGGCAGAACUGUGCUGUGCCCUGCAACAGGCCACCUGAGAGCUGCUUUGAUCUUGUGUGUACAUUAGAUGACUGCCAGGGGCAUGAAGGGGAUGUGCUUCCAGGGCAUUUGCUGGCAGGGCGUCUCGUGAUCUCUUGGUAUUGGUGUGAGCACAGCCUGGCAGGAGAGGGCAGAUCUCCAUGCAAAGUAUGUCAGAAAGCAGAUGGAAGCCAGGCCCCCUCCUGAAAGAGGCUCCUUGAAGAGACAGAGAAGAGUCCAUGAGAAUCAACAUUUUCUGAGGACUCCAACUGUGUGCCAAGAGAGUUCCCCUGCUGGUGCCUCCUCUGUAGUAAAGGAAAGGCUCCUGGGACCACAUUAUCAUUCUCUUCACUCGAGAGAUGAGGACACUGAAAUUCAGAGAGGGGAAGUGAUUUGCCUCAGCUUGUACUAAAGAAACAUUUCAACAGAGAACCCAGUGGAAAUUAUGACAUGUUAUCUUCUCAGAGUCCUGAACUCCCAUCCCUACCUCAGAAGAGACUCCUCUGUUCACAGAAGCUAAAGGCAGUUCCUUCCCAAUGGCAACUAUGUUUGGAUGUUGGAUCUACACUUUCUCAAGCACUGUGAUCUUCAAAUCAAAGGAGAUUUCUCCCAUUAUAUACUUCUUAUGAUCAACAAAUUCCAUCAUCUCCCCACUAAGAGAAAGUACUCCAAGAUGAUAGAAUGAUUUUAAAGUUAUGGGACUACAACAGCAGCCACAGGAACCUUGAAUGGGGAUAGUGGCUUGCUUCCAGGGCUGGCCUUGACCACACCGUUAUCAGAGCUUCUGGACUCCAAUGACAUGACUACCUGACUCCCUCACUUGGAGAAUCUGGGUCCCAUGGCUUCUGGCACAAUGACUUCACUAUGGCUGCAGUUCUACCUUUUCCCUCCAACCGUGGCUCAGUGCCAGGAUAGAAGGAAAAUGCGAAAGAGUUUGACAAUAUUUCAGAGAGGAGACUUUUAGCAGAAGUUAUAGCUUUGCUGUCCUGGGCAGUGUUAUGAAGGAGCUUUCCCACACAUUCCUCUGGAUCCUACCUUCAUCUGCCACCUUUACUCCUGGUUCUUUCUUCU
Homo sapiens (human) is the source of this 2007-nucleotide long non-coding RNA. Ensembl annotates it as EOLA2 divergent transcript. Its record names the gene EOLA2-DT. The record is from Ensembl. Lineage: Eukaryota; Metazoa; Chordata; Mammalia; Primates; Hominidae.